GAUGAACGCUGGCGGCGUGCCUAAUACAUGCAAGUCGAGCGAACAGAUGAGGAGCUUGCUCCUCUGACGUUAGCGGCGGACGGGUGAGUAACACGUGGAUAACCUACCUAUAAGACUGGGAUAACUUCGGGAAACCGGAGCUAAUACCGGAUAAUAUAUUGAACCGCAUGGUUCAAUAGUGAAAGACGGUUUUGCUGUCACUUAUAGAUGGAUCCGCGCCGCAUUAGCUAGUUGGUAAGGUAACGGCUUACCAAGGCAACGAUGCGUAGCCGACCUGAGAGGGUGAUCGGCCACACUGGAACUGAGACACGGUCCAGACUCCUACGGGAGGCAGCAGUAGGGAAUCUUCCGCAAUGGGCGAAAGCCUGACGGAGCAACGCCGCGUGAGUGAUGAAGGUCUUCGGAUCGUAAAACUCUGUUAUUCGGGAAGAACAAAUGUGUAAGUAACUAUGCACGUCUUGACGGUACCUAAUCAGAAAGCCACGGCUAACUACGUG
Molecule: ribosomal RNA, 497 nt
Filed under: uncultured bacterium
Lineage: Bacteria
Description: partial 16S ribosomal RNA
Rfam family: Bacterial small subunit ribosomal RNA
Source: RNAcentral